CCUACGGGAGACAGCAGUCGAGAAUCAUUCACAAUGGGGGAAACCCUGAUGGUGCGACGCCGCGUGGGGGAAUGAAGGUCUUCGGAUUGUAAACCCCUGUCAUGUGGGAGCAAAUUAAAAAGAUAGUACCACACGAGGAAGAGACGGCUAACUCUGUGCCAGCAGCCGCGGUAAUACAGAGGUCUCAAGCGUUGUUCGGAAUCACUGGGCGUAAAGCGUGCGUAGGCUGUUUCGUAAGUCGUGUGUGAAAGGCGCGGGCUCAACCCGCGGACGGCACAUGAUACUGCGAGACUAGAGUAAUGGAGGGGGAACCGGAAUUCUCGGUGUAGCAGUGAAAUGCGUAGAUAUCGAGAGGAACACUCGUGGCGAAGGCGGGUUCCUGGACAUUAACUGACGCUGAGGCACGAAGGCCAGGGGAGCGAAAGGGAUUAGAUACCCCGGUAGUC
RNAcentral lists this ribosomal RNA (446 nucleotides) under uncultured bacterium. Its description in RNAcentral is "partial 16S ribosomal RNA". It matches the Rfam family "Bacterial small subunit ribosomal RNA", at positions 338 to 795 of the family's 1533-position model. The record is from RNAcentral.